RNAcentral lists this ribosomal RNA (465 nucleotides) under uncultured bacterium. RNAcentral describes it as "partial 16S ribosomal RNA". It matches the Rfam family "Bacterial small subunit ribosomal RNA", at positions 28 to 507 of the family's 1533-position model. The record is from RNAcentral.
GACGAACGUUGGCGGCGUGCUUAACACAUGCAAGUCGAACGGAAAGGCCCCUUUGGGGGUACUCGAGUGGCGAACGGGUGAGUAACACGUGAGUAACCUGCCCUUGACUUCGGGAUAACUUCAGGAAACUGGGGCUAAUACCGGAUAGGAAUCCUUGCUGCAUGGUGGGGGUUGGAAAGCUUCGGCGGUUUUGGAUGGACUCGCGGCUUAUCAGCUUGUUGGUGGGGUAGUGGCUUACCAAGGCUUUGACGGGUAGCCGGCCUGAGAGGGCGACCGGCCACAUUGGGACUGAGAUACGGCCCAGACUCCUACGGGAGGCAGCGGUGGGGAAUAUUGCACAAUGGGCGGAAGCCUGAUGCAGCAACGCCGCGUGCGGGAUGACGGCCUUCGGGUUGUAAACCGCUUUCAGCAGGGGCGAAGCUUGUGGUGACGGUACCUGCAGAAGAAGCACCGGCUAACUACGUG